Molecule: ribosomal RNA, 304 nt
Filed under: uncultured bacterium
Lineage: Bacteria
Description: bacterial SSU rRNA
Rfam family: Bacterial small subunit ribosomal RNA
Source: RNAcentral
AUUGAACGCUGGCGGCAGGCCUAACACAUGCAAGUCGAGCGGAUGAAGGGAGCUUGCUCUCUGAUUCAGCGGCGGACGGGUGAGUAAUGCCUAGGAAUCUGCCUGGUAGUGGGGGACAACGUUCCGAAAGGGACGCUAAUACCGCAUACGUCCUACGGGAGAAAGUGGGGGAUCUUCGGACCUCACGCUAUCAGAUGAGCCUAGGUCGGAUUAGCUAGUAGGUGGGGUAAUGGCUCACCUAGGCGACGAUCCGUAACUGGUCUGAGAGGAUGAUCAGUCACACUGGAACUGAGACACGGUCCAG